AUUCCAGCUCCAAUAGCGUAUACUAAAGUUGUUGCAGUUAAAAAGCUCGUAGUUGAAUUUCUGGUCUCGGGCUUCGGUCUGCCUCAAACGAGGUACGCACCAGUUGUCUGAAUCCAUCCUCGGGGAGAACAUAUGUGUUAUUAAUUUGAUGUGUAUGGGAUCCUCGUCAUUUACUGUGAGCAAAAUAGAGUGUUCAAAGCAGGCUUAUGCCGUUGAAUACAUUAGCAUGGAAUAAUAAGAUAAGACCUUGGUCUAUUUUGUUGGUUUGUACUCCAAGGUAAUGAUUAAUAGGGAUAGUUGGGGGUAUUCGUAUUCAAUUGUCAGAGGUGAAAUUCUUGGAUUUAUGGAAGACGAACUACUGCGAAAGCAUUUACCAAGGAUGUUUUCAUUG
Molecule: ribosomal RNA, 391 nt
Filed under: Chrysophyceae sp.
Lineage: Eukaryota; Chrysophyceae
Description: partial small subunit ribosomal RNA
Rfam family: Eukaryotic small subunit ribosomal RNA
Source: RNAcentral